This is a long non-coding RNA of Anthonomus grandis grandis, 3837 nucleotides long. RefSeq lists it as uncharacterized. The record is from RefSeq and is a predicted model, not a curated record. Lineage: Eukaryota; Metazoa; Arthropoda; Insecta; Coleoptera; Curculionidae. The transcript has 3 exons.
UUAUUGUUUAUUAAUGCUUACAAAAAGAAAAACACUUACAUAGGUCAUUAUAUUUCGUCCUCGUUUCGUAAAUAAGAUAACAACGUAGUCUCUCUAUUCAUACCAAACACCACAAUUUUUAAAGUAAACAAUCUGCCCGCUCCGGUCCUAUGCAUUUCUAGGAUGGUCCCCAUGCCCAUUGAAUUCAUUCUUUGUUUUCGUGCCGUACAUUGCGUAUCGUUACAAGUGAGUUCAAAUUUGUAUUUUCCAUUUUUUUCACAAUUAGUUUCUUUUUAAUGUGUAACUAUAGUUGGCGUAAGUCAUAUUAAGGACUCAAAAGAUACGUUAUCCUAGUGUAGACCCUGAUAUCCGCUAUACCGGACUGCAUAUUUUGAAACACAGGACGUCAGGGGCAUACGGUUGAAACAAGUGCUUUAUCAUUGGUCAGGUGAUUUAUGGGCGUUGCGUUCGUUUUAAAUAUUCUAGAAGAAGAAGACAUAAUCUAACCUCAAAUUCAAUGAUUGUUGAUUUUGGCGUUUGAUGAAGUUUGAUCGUUAUUCGUUUGAUUAUUUGAUUAUUAUUGCUAGUCGUUUGAUCGUUUCGUUGUUGUUGGGUUGUCUUUGAGAGGGAUAUCUUAAAAUUUAGUGAGGAAAAUGGCUAUGAAUGUCGUGUACAAGCUGAAAAUGAAAAAAAGAAGGAAAUAAUUAUGCGUAUUAACUUAACCACUCCACAAGAUGCUGAUAAAUAUCUAUCAGCAUACAAAUUGUAUUCAGGGACAAACUGGAUUCGAAAUGGGGAGUUAAAAGAUCCGCAAAGAGUUGUGUAUCAUAAAUAUUAUGUGUGCCAAUAUAGUUCAAUAAAUAAGAAAAGAAGUUGUACCAAGAGUGAAAUGAAUACAGGAUGUGUUGCAACAAUAGAUGUUAAAAUUUAAAAAAUUACAACUAAAACAAAAAGAAAUGAUGAAUACCUAAAGUUAGAUAUUCCUUUAUGUGGUAUUAUAAAUUUUAAUUUAAAUCAUAACCAUAAUCUUGGCACAAGUGGUAGUUUGAAAUUUAUGAAGCUUUCUGAAGAGGUAGGCAGCAAAGUUUAAUAUAAUUAUGUAUAACCCAUAAAUAGUUGUUUUUCUUUUCGUUAUUCAAGCUGGUUCUUUUAAACUUUAGACUAAAAAGAUGUUUGAAGGAUAUUUUGAGAAUGGAAUGAGCCCUGCCGAAAGUUUGUUAUUAUUGGAAAAAAAUGGCAGAUGUCUCUCUAAAUCCUACUAAAAAUGCACUUUAUUACCUUCAUAAAAAAUGGACUUUAAGGCAUCUUGGACAGGUAUUUGAGCCAAUACCAAAACUUCAAGAAAAAAAAAGUUUUUUCAUUAAUCAGGAAUAAAUAUUGAAAUUGCAACAGACCCGUGGGCAGUAUUGGUAGUUACGCCAAUCAUGAAAAGAGCACAGGAACUGCAGUCCUCCAAGGAACUGAUAUUUUGCGACAGUACAUCAAGUUGAGACACCAGUGAGACCACAGUUACUGUGUUACUAACAGCUGGUGCCAUUCCCAUUGCGAUACGUUUGCAUGAUGGGCAAACUACUGAAAGUUAUGAACAAGCCUAUGGAUUGCUAAACAGACAUUUCCAAACUCUUUUGGAGGGAAUUUUGUAAGUAAAUUAUUAAAUAGUAAUUUAACUUUAUAUUUUUUAAUUUGGCUUCUAUGACAUUUUAACCUUUUAAAAUUAAAAACCACAAAGAUACCUACAUACAUGACAAUUUACGCUUACUGAAUUAGAUCAAAUUUAAAUGUAAUUAAGGGAAGGAAUCUCUCUUAACACAUGUAUGUACGCCUUUUUUAUGAAUAGCUGUACCACCCAUAAUACUCUAAAAGAAUAGUUAGAAACUAGGCAAAAAUUACUUGUAUUUAAAUAGAAUAUUUUUAAAUACACUAUGUGAUAAUGAUAAUAUUAUAAACAUAUAUUUAUUUUUAGCUAAUUAUUUUCACUAAAAAAACAACACAAAUGAAUCUUUUGUAAGUACAUUGUAUGUUGAUUUAUUCAUAUGGGGUUAUGGUUUAAUAUUUUGGUGUAUUAGUUUUUUUAAUUAAUUAUUAUAUUGGUGGUUAUGGUUUUAUGUUGUUUCUUCUAGGUAUUGGUUAAUAAUAGAUAAUAGAUAUAAUAGAGCCUAUAUGUUUUAUGACAGACGACUCCAAAUCUGAAAAGACAGCUCUUAAAAAUACAUUUCCAAAUUCUACUCAGCUACUGUGUUUUUUUCACGUGCUUCAAAAAGAAUGGCGAUGGCUUUGUGAAAACAAAAAUAAGAUUUCCAUGGAAAAGCGUCAAAUCUUAAUGCAUUCGUUUCGUAAGGUAUAAUAUAAGAGUAUUACACAAUGUAAAUAAAUUAUGUUAAUACAUUUAUUUUAUAAUGCUUACGCUAUAGUGCUCAUUUUUUAACUAUUUUUAUUUUUUUUUUUACUUACUUACUUCAUUUUAUUUAUUGUUAAUAAGAAAUUUACAUAUUUCUAUAAUUCUAUCAAUUGUUUACGUAUAUUUAAAUAUAUUAGGCAUAAAUGGCAAUAAAAAGCAUUAGGUAUAUUAAGAAACAUUAUAAAAAGUCCGAAAAAUAAAUGGAAUGCACAUUGAUAUAGCGUUGCUUUUUUUUAGAUUAUGUAUUCUGAAAGUAAUGAAGAUCUAAAUGAACACAUGUUAAAGCUGCAGAAAGAAGCGGAGGAUUGUCCAAACUUUUGGGCAAGAUUUGAAAUUUAUUUUUCUAGAGGACAAGAGUGGUUGUAUCUUCACAGGAAACAUUGGGUCAUAAGAGGGAACAAUAAAAACAAUUACGCAGAAGUAACCAUCAAAAUACUUAAGGACAUUAUUCUUCAUCGUACAAAAGGUUACAAUUGUGUAGCAUUAGUUGAUUUCAUUGCUUUUGUCUGGGAGGAGUAUUUUAAAUGCAAGUUAUUAGAUUUUGCCCAUGGAAGAAGAAACGAAAUAAAAAAUAAUUACUUAAAGCUAUGUUCAAAAGUGAAUUAUUUUAAACUGGAAGAUAUUGUAACUUUGGGAGAUGGAUUGUAUCAAAUUAGUAGUAGUUCUAAUAUCUUUUUAAAAUACAUUAUUGACGUGCCAAUUGGUGUAUGCAGUUGUCCUGCAGGCAUAAAUGGGUCAUUUUGUAAGCACCAAGCUUACCUACAUAAACAUUUAAAUAUUCCAUUUUUGAAUGAUCCCUGCUAUUAAUUUUCAAGAAAGAGCAUCACUUGGGCGGCUAGCUCUUGGCGAGAAAUGGCCCGAAUCCAAAUGGUUUUUGGCCCUAAGUGAGUUUUCAGAAAAUGCAGAUAAUAUACAAGAUUGUGGUUAUCAAGAAAACUAUCUCGAAACUAGAAUCGAUGCACCAUCUUCAUUAUUUGACGAGACAAUAAUGGAGAUUGAUGACACGUUGGAAGAUGACAACAAAAAGGAAGAUGUAAUUGAAGAAAUUAAAGAAGAAUGUAAAAAAUUUGAUAAAAUGCUUAAGGAAAUACCUUUAAAAGCAUUAGAAAGACUUGCAAACAAACUAAAAAGAAUACAAACUGCGCCGCAGCUAUAUUCUUUCAUAGACAGUAAAGUUUCUAGGGUCAAAAGCAACUCAAAAAUAAAAGUCCAGCCAACAACUGCUUUUCGAAGACGGCCUGGAGCCACUCGUGGAGGUUCAAGAAUCCCUUCAGGAAGACCACCUUGUGGCAAACGUAGUAGCCAAAAUGCUGUCAAAGGUAGUGGUAAAAGUAGUGGAAAACGAAAACAUAACAUAAGUUUAAAUAUAUCUUUAAAUCAACGAAACGCAAUUAUCCAUGGUCGCGCGCAUUAAAUACAUAAUAUGUACAAAAGUAAUAAAAAAUAUUGUUUAGAUUUUU